This 474-nucleotide ribosomal RNA is filed under the name Bacillus sp. (in: firmicutes). RNAcentral's name for it is "bacterial SSU rRNA". It matches the Rfam family "Bacterial small subunit ribosomal RNA", at positions 976 to 1448 of the family's 1533-position model. The record is from RNAcentral. Lineage: Bacteria; Bacillati; Bacillota; Bacilli; Caryophanales; Bacillaceae.
AGGUCUUGACAUCCUCUGAAAACCCUAGAGAUAGGGCUUCUCCUUCGGGAGCAGAGUGACAGGUGGUGCAUGGUUGUCGUCAGCUCGUGUCGUGAGAUGUUGGGUUAAGUCCCGCAACGAGCGCAACCCUUGAUCUUAGUUGCCAUCAUUAAGUUGGGCACUCUAAGGUGACUGCCGGUGACAAACCGGAGGAAGGUGGGGAUGACGUCAAAUCAUCAUGCCCCUUAUGACCUGGGCUACACACGUGCUACAAUGGACGGUACAAAGAGCUGCAAGACCGCGAGGUGGAGCUAAUCUCAUAAAACCGUUCUCAGUUCGGAUUGUAGGCUGCAACUCGCCUACAUGAAGCUGGAAUCGCUAGUAAUCGCGGAUCAGCAUGCCGCGGUGAAUACGUUCCCGGGCCUUGUACACACCGCCCGUCACACCACGAGAGUUUGUAACACCCGAAGUCGGUGGGGUAACCUUUUUUUGGGA